GUAGGUGGCAAGCGUUGUCCGGGAAUUAUUGGGGCGUAAAGCGCGCGCAGGCGGUCCUUUAAGUCUGAUGUGAAAGCCCACGGGCUCAACCGUGGAGGGUCAUUGGAAACUGGGGACUUGAGUGCAGAAGAGAAGAGUGGAAUUCCACGUGUAGCGGUGAAAUGCGUAGAGAUGUGGAGGAACACCAGUGGCGAAGGCGGCUCUUUGGUCUGUAACUGACGCUGAGGCGCGAAAGCGUGGGGAGCAAACAGGAUUAGAUACCCUGGUAGUCCACGCCGUAAACGAUGAGUGCUAAGUGUUAGAGGGUUUCCGCCCUUUAGUGCUGCAGCAAACGCAUUAAGCACUCCGCCUGGGGAGUACGGCCGCAAAGGCUG
Molecule: ribosomal RNA, 374 nt
Filed under: uncultured organism
Description: partial 16S ribosomal RNA
Rfam family: Bacterial small subunit ribosomal RNA
Source: RNAcentral